AAAAAAAAGAUAAAAACAAAAU
Molecule: small RNA, 22 nt
Filed under: Arabidopsis thaliana (thale cress)
Lineage: Eukaryota; Viridiplantae; Streptophyta; Magnoliopsida; Brassicales; Brassicaceae
Description: ATSL112810
Source: RNAcentral